This 250-nucleotide unclassified non-coding RNA is filed under the name uncultured fungus. RNAcentral describes it as "sequence contains 5.8S rRNA gene". The stretch from base 1 to 53 matches the Rfam family "5.8S ribosomal RNA", at positions 102 to 154 of the family's 154-position model. Lineage: Eukaryota; Fungi. The record is from RNAcentral.
GAACGCACAUUGCGCCCCUUGGUAUUCCAUGGGGCAUGCUUGUUCGAGCGUCAUUUGUACUCUCAAGCUUUGCUUGGUGUUGGGUGUUUGUCCUUUCCUCGCGUUUGGACUCGCCUUAAAUUCAUUGGCAGCCACGAUAUUGGUUUGAAGCGCAGCACAAUUUGCGAAUCUACCCAGCAUUAGUAGCGUCCAGUAAGCAUAUUUAACACUUUUGACCUCGGAUCAAGUAGGGAUACCCGCUGAACUUAAG